Molecule: ribosomal RNA, 253 nt
Filed under: uncultured bacterium
Lineage: Bacteria
Description: partial 16S ribosomal RNA
Rfam family: Bacterial small subunit ribosomal RNA
Source: RNAcentral
UACGGGGGGGGCAAGCGUUGUUCGGAAUUACUGGGCGUAAAGGGCUCGUAGGCGGCCAACUAAGUCCGACGUGAAAUCCCCAGGCUCAACCUGGGAACUGCGUCGGAUACUGGAUGGCUUGAAUUCGGGAGAGGGAUGCAGAAUUCCAGGUGUAGCGGUGAAAUGCGUAGAUAUCUGGAGGAAUACCGGUGGCGAAGGCGGCAUCCUGGACCGACAUUGACGCUGAGGAGCGAAAGCAUGGGGAGCGAACAGG